Molecule: ribosomal RNA, 481 nt
Filed under: uncultured bacterium
Lineage: Bacteria
Description: partial 16S ribosomal RNA
Rfam family: Bacterial small subunit ribosomal RNA
Source: RNAcentral
GAUGAACGCUGGCGGCGUGCUUAACACAUGCAAGUCGAGCGAGUGAGUUCUUCGGAACGAUCUAGCGGCGGACGGGUGAGUAACACGUGGGCAACCUGCCUCAUAGAGGGGAAUAGCCUCCCGAAAGGGAGAUUAAUACCGCAUAAAAUUAUCGAGUGGCAUCACAUGAUAAUCAAAGGAGUAAUCCGCUAUGAGAUGGGCCCGCGGCGCAUUAGCUAGUUGGUGAGGUAACGGCUCACCAAGGCGACGAUGCGUAGCCGACCUGAGAGGGUGAUCGGCCACAUUGGGACUGAGACACGGCCCAGACUCCUACGGGAGGCAGCAGUGGGGAAUAUUGCACAAUGGGCGCAAGCCUGAUGCAGCGACGCCGCGUGAGGGAUGAAGGUCUUCGGAUUGUAAACCUCUUUCAGUAGGGACGAAGCGAAAGUGACGGUACCUAAAGAAGAAGCACCGGCUAACUACGUGCCAGCAGCCGCCGUAA